Gadus macrocephalus (Pacific cod) is the source of this 435-nucleotide long non-coding RNA. RefSeq lists it as uncharacterized. The transcript is spliced from 2 exons. The record is from RefSeq and is a predicted model, not a curated record. Lineage: Eukaryota; Metazoa; Chordata; Actinopteri; Gadiformes; Gadidae.
GAGGAGGAGAGAGGGGAGGAGAGGAGGAGGAGAGGAGAGAGUAGGAGGAGAGGAGAGAGAGAAGGAGAGGAGAGGAGGAGAGGAGGAGGAGGAGAGGACAGAGGGUAAUGGACCAGCGUCCUGUGAGGAGCCAUAUGAUGUGUGAUAGGCCGGUGCUUCAGCCCAUCAGACGGCUCCAAGCUGUCCUGUAUAUCAAAGCACUUACUAACUAAACACCGCUUCAACAUGUAACCAUGGAUACGACCCCCUACACACACAAUACACACAUUACACUCACACACACACACGCCCUACCUGUGAUGUCAUAACCUCGCUGUGAUGUCAUAAACUCCCUGAGAUGUCAUAACCUCGCUGUGAUGUCAUGGCUCUGUGCCAAAGAUGCUGAUCUAGGAUGCUGAUGUUCACGAGCAGACUAAUAAAGUUUAUACGCACACA